GUGCUUACUUUGACAGCACAUAUACUAAAAUUGGAAUGAUAUAAAGAAGAUUAACAUGGCUCCUGCACAAGAAUGACACGCAGGGACUGGAGAGAUAGCAGAAGGAC
Suncus etruscus (white-toothed pygmy shrew) is the source of this 107-nucleotide small nuclear RNA. The record is from RefSeq and is a predicted model, not a curated record. Lineage: Eukaryota; Metazoa; Chordata; Mammalia; Eulipotyphla; Soricidae.